UACGAAGGGGGCUAGCGUUGUUCGGAAUCACUGGGCGUAAAGGGCGCGUAGGCGGCUUUGUAAGUCGGGGGUGAAAGCCUGUGGCUCAACCACAGAAUUGCCUUCGAUACUUCAUGGCUUGAGACCGGAAGAGGUAAGUGGAACUGCGAGUGUAGAGGUGAAAUUCGUAGAUAUUCGCAAGAACACCAGUGGCGAAGGCGGCUUACUGGUCCGGUUCUGACGCUGAGGCGCGAAAGCGUGGGGAGCAAACAGG
RNAcentral lists this ribosomal RNA (253 nucleotides) under uncultured bacterium. Its description in RNAcentral is "partial 16S ribosomal RNA". It matches the Rfam family "Bacterial small subunit ribosomal RNA", at positions 524 to 776 of the family's 1533-position model. The record is from RNAcentral.